RNAcentral lists this ribosomal RNA (449 nucleotides) under uncultured bacterium. RNAcentral's name for it is "partial 16S ribosomal RNA". It matches the Rfam family "Bacterial small subunit ribosomal RNA", at positions 29 to 523 of the family's 1533-position model. The record is from RNAcentral.
AGCGAACGCUGGCGGCAGGCCUAACACAUGCAAGUCGAACGAACUCUUCGGAGUUAGUGGCGGACGGGUGAGUAACACGUGGGAACGUGCCCUUAGGUUCGGAAUAACCCAGGGAAACUUGUGCUAAUACCGAAUGUGCCCUUCGGGGGAAAGAUUUAUCGCCUUUAGAGCGGCCCGCGUCUGAUUAGCUAGUUGGUGAGGUAAAGGCUCACCAAGGCGACGAUCAGUAGCUGGUCUGAGAGGAUGAUCAGCCACAUUGGGACUGAGACACGGCCCAAACUCCUACGGGAGGCAGCAGUGGGGAAUCUUGCGCAAUGGGCGAAAGCCUGACGCAGCCAUGCCGCGUGAAUGAUGAAGGUCUUAGGAUUGUAAAAUUCUUUCACCGGGGACGAUAAUGACGGUACCCGGAGAAGAAGCCCCGGCUAACUUCAUGCCAGCCGCCGCAGUAA